Molecule: long non-coding RNA, 2072 nt
Filed under: Sus scrofa (pig)
Lineage: Eukaryota; Metazoa; Chordata; Mammalia; Artiodactyla; Suidae
Description: lncRNA (ENSSSCG00015013425.1)
Source: RNAcentral
UUCCUGAUCAACACAGAGCAGCGAGUAAGACCCGAAUUGAACCUCAGCAUCACCCCUGACAGGCCGAGUGACCUUGGGCCAGUUACUUCUCACAUCUCCAAGCCUCAGUUUCCUCAUCUGGAAAGUGGGGGGAAACAGCAUUGCCCUCAGUGGGCUUGCUAUGAAGAUCAGAUAGGAAAACAUGGGUGAGGAGUUCCCUUCGUCACUUAGCGGUUAAUGAACCCAACUAGUAUCCAUGAGGAUGCGGGUUUGAUCCCUGGCCUCGCUCAGUGGGUUAAGGAUCUGGCGUUGCCGUGAGCUGUGGGGCAGGUCACAGACGUGGCUUGGAUCCCGAGUUGCUGUGGCUGUGGUGUAGGCUGGCUGGCAGGUGCAGCUCUGAUGUGACCCUAGCUUGUGAACUUUCAUAUGCCGUGGGUGUGGCUGUAAAAAAAGAACAGCAAAGUCUUUCUGAGGAACAGAACUACUCACGUUUAUAACCCCCAAGGGUCUAGCCCCAAACCUGAGGGGUGUGUGUGCAUGCAUGUGAGUGCAAGCACGUGCACGCCUGUGUUGUGAGUUAUGCCAACCAUCACACCAGCAGCAGCUAACACAUGAGCACAGGUGCCACCCUACAUGUGUGAUACACCUGACUUGCCCUCAAUAAACCUGUGGCUCAUGACUCCCACUUUACAGACAAAGAAACUGAGGCUCAAGAUGGCUAAGAAACCUGCCCAAGGUCUCAGGGCUAAUAACUGGUAGGACUGGGGAUUUGAACCAGGCUCCUUGAAGCCUAUAAAUCAAGCCCCUUUACCACUACUCUUACUUGAAAGGGUAGACAGGGAGCCCUGGUUAGAGGUGGCUAGUGGGGGUAGGAAGGUGGGUAGGUCUGUUAAGACCAUCGAGGAAGAGGAUGGCGGAUGCAAAGUUAGAACUACUCUCUUCUUGGUCUUGAUUGAACAGUGGACAUGCCCAUUGGCUUGUCGACGUACAAGCUGCUUUUUCUUGCAUCUCAAACUACCCAUCCUCAAUUAUCCAUGCUGCAUAUUCAUGACAAAUUCUUUAGCCCAGAUGACUUGUCACCUACACGGAUCCUUGGUCGUAACAGCCCUAAAAACUGGCUUAUAUGGCUGAUAUUUAUGAGGUAACAAAAUUGGCACUUUUUUAUUAAUUCAUUUAAUCCUCACCAUAAUCCCAUAGGAAGGUAUUAUUGUUAUCAGCCAAAUUUUAAAGAUGAAUAAACUGAGGCAGCGAGAGUUUAAGUAACUUGCCCAAGCUUUCAUAGCUAGCAAGUGGCAGAACAGAAUUUGAACCCAGGACAUCUGCCCUCUUAACUGACAGGGGUAAUCAUUAUUGACCACAUAUUUUUACUUUUUUUUUUCAUUUUUCAAAUACUUGAUAUGAUAAAUAAACUCAUGAUUCCAGUACUAUUUUCAAUUCUGUUUCACAGAUGAGGUUCAGAGUAGUUGAACUCUCCCAACAGUAUCCAGCCCAGGCCGCUGCUUGCUCAAACCACAGCUUUGCGAGAAUUACAAAAGGAGAUGUGCCUUACUCUAAGCAACUAUAGUGCUGAGUUUAGCUCACGCCUUGCUGACUAUAGCGCAAGCUGAAUUUUAGCUCCAACUUGCUCCCUUGUGCAGUGCACAUCAUGGGCAACUGUACAGAGAAGCACUGACCUAGCAGAUAAAUGGCAGACUUCCAAUUCCAAUCCAAGUCCGACUUGCAUCUGGCUUUUAAUCACUAUUGGUGCUCUAUUACACACCUCUAACUUAUUUCUAGAUUUCAGUCCAUUCAAGGCUGCUCAGAAAAUGCCUAGUCUGGGUGUCUGUAAGUGAGAAAAAGCUCUGGAGUUCCCGUGGUGGCUCAGCAGAAACAAAUCUGACUAGCAUCCACGAGGACACAGGUUCCUUCUCUGACCUCCCUCAGUGGGUUAAGGAUCCGGCGUUGCCAUGAGCUGUGGUGUAGGUCGCAGAUGUGGCUCGGAUCUGGUGUUGCUGUGGCUGUGAUCAGAAGCUGCUGCUCUGAUUUGACCCCUAGCCUAGGAACCUCCCUAUGCCAUGAGUGUGGCUCUAAAAAGACCAAAAAAAAAAAAAAAA